Molecule: ribosomal RNA, 253 nt
Filed under: uncultured bacterium
Lineage: Bacteria
Description: partial 16S ribosomal RNA
Rfam family: Bacterial small subunit ribosomal RNA
Source: RNAcentral
UACGUAGGGGGCAAGCGAUGUCCGGAUUUAUUGGGCGUAAAGAGCGUGUAGGCGGCCAGGUAGGUCUGCUGUGAAAACUCGAGGCUUAACCUCGAGCUGUCGGCGGAAACCAUCUGGCUAGAGUCCGGAAGAGGAGAAUGGAAUUCCCGGUGUAGCGGUGAAAUGCGCAGAUAUCAGGAAGAACACCCGUGGCGAAGGCGGUUCUCUGGGACGGUACUGACGCUGAGACGCGAAAGCGUGGGGAGCGAACAGG